This 238-nucleotide ribosomal RNA is filed under the name uncultured bacterium. RNAcentral's name for it is "partial 16S ribosomal RNA". It matches the Rfam family "Bacterial small subunit ribosomal RNA", at positions 539 to 776 of the family's 1533-position model. The record is from RNAcentral.
CGUUGUUCGGAAUUAUUGGGCGUAAAGGGCGCGUAGGCGGUUUGACAAGUCUGAUGUGAAAUCUAUGGGCUCAACCCAUAGCCUGCAUUAGAAACUGUCGGGCUUGAGUAUGGGAGAGGUGAGUGGAAUUUCCGGUGUAGCGGUGAAAUGCGUAGAUAUCGGAAGGAACACCUGUGGCGAAAGCGGCUCACUGGACCAUAACUGACGCUGAGGCACGAAAGCGUGGGGAUCAAACAGG